UACGGAAUGUGCAAACGUUAUUCGGAAUCACUGGGCAUAAAGGGUGCGUAGGCGGUUUGUUAAGUCAGGGGUGAAAGUUUUCGGCCCAACCGGAAAAUUGCCUUUGAUACUGGCGAACUUGAGUGCGUGAGGGGUAACCGGAACGAGCAGUGUAGCGGUGAAGUGCGUAGAUAUUGCUCGGAAGGCCAACGGCGAAGGCAGGUUACUGGUACGCAACUGACGCUGAGGCACGAAAGCGUGGGGAGCAAACAGG
This 253-nucleotide ribosomal RNA is filed under the name uncultured bacterium. RNAcentral's name for it is "partial 16S ribosomal RNA". It matches the Rfam family "Bacterial small subunit ribosomal RNA", at positions 524 to 776 of the family's 1533-position model. The record is from RNAcentral.